ACGCUCGACACCUACGGGGAGGCAGCAGUGGGAAUAUUGCACAAUGGGGGAAACCCUGAUGCAGCGACGCCGCGUGGAGGAAGAAGGUCUUCGGAUUGUAAACUCCUGUUGUUGGGGAAAAAGAGGAUGGUACCCAACAAGGAAGUGACGGCUAACUACGUGCCGGCAGCCGCGGUAAUCUGAGCGGGCUGGCAAGGC
RNAcentral lists this ribosomal RNA (198 nucleotides) under uncultured bacterium. Its description in RNAcentral is "partial 16S ribosomal RNA". It matches the Rfam family "Bacterial small subunit ribosomal RNA", at positions 328 to 539 of the family's 1533-position model. The record is from RNAcentral.